Molecule: transfer RNA, 72 nt
Filed under: Phrynosoma platyrhinos (Desert horned lizard)
Lineage: Eukaryota; Metazoa; Chordata; Lepidosauria; Squamata; Phrynosomatidae
Description: tRNA-OTHER
Source: RNAcentral
GGCAGCGUGGCAUAGUGGUUUGAGUAUUGAACUAUGACUCUGGAGAGCAGGGUUCGAUUUCCAGCUUGGCUG